GGAAGGGAUUCUGGGAGGUUGUAGCAGUGGAAAAAUUCCUUUUUUCCUCUGAUCGCCCUUUCAGCUCUUUCCUUCU
MicroRNA precursor from Macaca nemestrina (pig-tailed macaque), 76 nucleotides. The record is from Ensembl. NCBI's taxonomy places the organism in Eukaryota, Metazoa, Chordata, Mammalia, Primates, Cercopithecidae.